Molecule: ribosomal RNA, 496 nt
Filed under: uncultured bacterium
Lineage: Bacteria
Description: bacterial SSU rRNA
Rfam family: Bacterial small subunit ribosomal RNA
Source: RNAcentral
CGCCUAACACAUGCAAGUCGCACGAGAAAGGGCUUCGGCCCCGGUAAAGUGGCGCACGGGUGAGUAACACGUGGGUAAUCUGCCCUCGAGCUGGGGAUAACAUUCCGAAAGGAGUGCUAAUACCGAAUAAGACCACGACCUCGAAAGAGGAUGCGGUCAAAGCUGGCCUCUAUACAUAAGCUAGCACUUGAGGAUGAGCCCGCGGCGCAUCAGCUAGUUGGUGAGGUAAUGGCUCACCAAGGCUAAGACGCGUAGCUGGUCUGAGAGGAUGAUCAGCCACACUGGAACUGAGACACGGUCCAGACUCCUACGGGAGGCAGCAGUGGGGAAUCUUGCGCAAUGGGCGAAAGCCUGACGCAGCGACGCCGCGUGAGUGAUGAAGGCCGUUUCCGGGUUGUAAAGCUCUGUGGGGGGAGAAGAAUUAGUGCAGCCUAAUACGUUGCAUGAUGACGGUAUCCCCUUAGCAAGCACCGGCUAACUCUGUGCCAGCCGCAGC